This 242-nucleotide ribosomal RNA is filed under the name uncultured bacterium. RNAcentral describes it as "partial 16S ribosomal RNA". It matches the Rfam family "Bacterial small subunit ribosomal RNA", at positions 94 to 334 of the family's 1533-position model. The record is from RNAcentral.
CCCGGCGCACGGGUGAGUAACACGUAUCCAACCUGCCGUCUACUCUUGGCCAGCCUUCUGAAAGGAAGAUUAAUCCAGGAUGGGAUCAUGAGUUCACAUGUCCGCAUGAUUAAAGGUAUUUUCCGGUAGACGAUGGGGAUGCGUUCCAUUAGAUAGUAGGCGGGGUAACGGCCCACCUAGUCAACGAUGGAUAGGGGUUCUGAGAGGAAGGUCCCCCACAUUGGAACUGAGACACGGUCCAA